GACGAACGCUGGCGGCGUGCUUAACACAUGCAAGUCGAACGGAAAGGCCCUGCUUUUGUGGGGUGCUCGAGUGGCGAAUGGGUGAGUAACACGUGAGUAACCUGCCCUUGACUUUGGGAUAACUUCAGGAAACUGGGGCUAAUACCGGAUAGGAGCUCCUGCUGCAUGGCGGGGGUUGGAAAGUUUCGGCGGUUGGGGAUGGACUCGCGGCUUAUCAGCUUGUUGGUGGGGUAGUGGCUUACCAAGGCUUUGACGGGUAGCCGGCCUGAGAGGGUGACCGGCCACAUUGGGACUGAGAUACGGCCCAGACUCCUACGGGAGGCAGCAGUGGGGAAUAUUGCACAAUGGGCGGAAGCCUGAUGCAGCAACGCCGCGUGCGGGAUGACGGCCUUCGGGUUGUAAACCGCUUUCGCCUGUGACGAAGCGUGAGUGACGGUAAUGGGUAAAGAAGCACCGGCUAACUACGUG
This 468-nucleotide ribosomal RNA is filed under the name uncultured bacterium. RNAcentral describes it as "partial 16S ribosomal RNA". It matches the Rfam family "Bacterial small subunit ribosomal RNA", at positions 28 to 507 of the family's 1533-position model. The record is from RNAcentral.